This 243-nucleotide unclassified non-coding RNA is filed under the name uncultured fungus. RNAcentral describes it as "sequence contains ITS2". The stretch from base 1 to 52 matches the Rfam family "5.8S ribosomal RNA", at positions 103 to 154 of the family's 154-position model. Lineage: Eukaryota; Fungi. The record is from RNAcentral.
AACGCACAUUGCGCCCCUUGGUAUUCCGAGGGGCAUGCCUGUUCGAGCGUCAUUACAACCCUCAAGCAUUGCUUGGUAUUGGGCCCCGCCGCUUACCCAGCGGGCCUUAAAAUCAGUGGCGGUGCCGUCGAGGCCCUGAGCGUAGUAAAUAUCCUCGCUAUAGGGACUCGGUGGACGCUGGCCAUCAACCCCCAACUUUCUAAGUUUGACCUCGGAUCAGGUAGGGAUACCCGCUGAACUUAA